This 100-nucleotide transfer-messenger RNA is filed under the name Acidobacteriota bacterium. RNAcentral's name for it is "Acidobacteria bacterium partial transfer-messenger RNA". It matches the Rfam family "transfer-messenger RNA", at positions 266 to 374 of the family's 374-position model. From Rfam's summary of the family: Bacterial tmRNA, also known as 10Sa RNA or SsrA, is named for its dual tRNA and mRNA-like properties. Its role is to liberate the mRNA from a stalled ribosome. To accomplish this part of the tmRNA is used as a reading frame that ends in a translation stop signal. Lineage: Bacteria; Pseudomonadati; Acidobacteriota. The record is from RNAcentral.
ACGUCUUUGGGUAAUGCCAAGGGCAUGAACGCGAAUAAGCAUGUAGUCUCUUGACCAGUAACAUUUUCGGACGCGGGUUCGACUCCCGCCGCCUCCACCA